Molecule: unclassified non-coding RNA, 219 nt
Filed under: Ascomycota sp.
Lineage: Eukaryota; Fungi; Ascomycota
Description: partial contains small subunit ribosomal RNA, internal transcribed spacer 1, and 5.8S ribosomal RNA
Rfam family: Eukaryotic small subunit ribosomal RNA (bases 1-47)
Source: RNAcentral
AAAGUCGUAACAAGGUUUCCGUAGGUGAACCUGCGGAAGGAUCAUUACAUUCAGUAGCCUAGCUACUUGUUUAUACCCUUGUUUUUAGCGUACUAUUGUUUCCUCGGUGGGCUUGCCUGCCGGUUGGACUAAACCAAAUAUAACCUUUGUAAAAUUUUCGUUCCGCAUCUGGUUAAUACAUAAUAAUUACAACUUUCAACAACGGAUCUCUUGGUUCUG